Molecule: long non-coding RNA, 850 nt
Filed under: Cricetulus griseus (Chinese hamster)
Lineage: Eukaryota; Metazoa; Chordata; Mammalia; Rodentia; Cricetidae
Description: lncRNA (ENSCGRG00000026047.1)
Source: RNAcentral
GUGCCCAGUGCCCAGCACAGUGUCUGACUCACUAGUAACCAGAUAAAGACUUACAGGAACCCUGCAACCUGAUAACUCAACACUGGUACAUGAAACCAGGAAAACAAUCCAGAAAGGCAGACAAGACUCCCAUUUUGAGAUGUCUUAGGAUCCAGAGUUACACUGUUCAGUACAAUUGUCACUAGCCACAAGAGACCAUUCAAAUUUAAAUUCACUAAAUUAAGAAGAAUGGUAGAAUCUGUUUUUCAACGAUGUCAGUCUUAUUGCCAGUGCUCAGUGGUCACACUGGUUGUAGCUUUCUAGUUCCCAUCAUCAAAGCUAGUUCCAAAGGGAGAGGUUUUUGUUUCUGAUAAUUAUGGUGAGCUUUAUCUAUUCCUAUACCCUUGUGAGAGCACUGGGAUUCACUGUUUCUGUAACAGUGACUUGAAACUCAUAUAGCUUGGUCAAUGACAAGUCUGGUAUUGAAUCCAAUUACUCUGAUGCCACAGAUUGUUGUGGAUUAAUGGGAUGUGGACAUACUACGGAUUUCCUUACAACGUACCAGGGUAGGAAACAAACAAUCAAAACAUCAAAGUUCUCUUUUGGCUUCCUGUGUGAAUACAGUCAAUUAUGAAGACAGAAUGGAAGCACCAGUGUGGUUAUUUCUACUGCAGUGGCAUCUUGCUUUGCCAGGUGGUGGCUACACCCUAUGAGCCUGGCUUCAGGUGUGCAGAAGUGACCCCUUAUAAAGUAGAGGAGAGGCUGGCUUGCUCUCUUGGCUUGUGGUAAGAUCAUCGGAAGGGCAGAGACUGCAUCUUCUGUAGCAGGAAGACCUCAGCGGUUAUUUAUUAUCAUUUGUGUAAGAGCUUCC